Molecule: ribosomal RNA, 253 nt
Filed under: uncultured bacterium
Lineage: Bacteria
Description: partial 16S ribosomal RNA
Rfam family: Bacterial small subunit ribosomal RNA
Source: RNAcentral
UACGUAGGCAGCGAGCGUUGUUCGGAAUUACUGGGCGUAAAGAGUGUGUAGGCGGUGCUCUAAGUCUGUCGUGAAAUCUCCCGGCUUAACCGGGAGGCUGCGGCGGAAACUGGUGCGCUAGAGGGUGGGAGAGGUAAGCGGAAUUCCUGGUGUAGCGGUGAAAUGCGUAGAUAUCAGGAGGAACACCUGCGGUGUAGACAGCUUACUGGACCACUUCUGACGCUGAGACACGAAAGCGUGGGUAGCAAACAGG